Molecule: ribosomal RNA, 465 nt
Filed under: uncultured Klebsiella sp.
Lineage: Bacteria; Pseudomonadati; Pseudomonadota; Gammaproteobacteria; Enterobacterales; Enterobacteriaceae
Description: bacterial SSU rRNA
Rfam family: Bacterial small subunit ribosomal RNA
Source: RNAcentral
CCUACGGGCGGCUGCAGUAGGGAAUAUUGCACAAUGGGCGCAAGCCUGAUGCAGCCAUGCCGCGUGUGUGAAGAAGGCCUUCGGGUUGUAAAGCACUUUCAGCGGGGAGGAAGGCGGUGAGGUUAAUAACCUCAUCGAUUGACGUUACCCGCAGAAGAAGCACCGGCUAACUCCGUGCCAGCAGCCGCGGUAAUACGGAGGGUGCAAGCGUUAAUCGGAAUUACUGGGCGUAAAGCGCACGCAGGCGGUCUGUCAAGUCGGAUGUGAAAUCCCCGGGCUCAACCUGGGAACUGCAUUCGAAACUGGCAGGCUAGAGUCUUGUAGAGGGGGGUAGAAUUCCAGGUGUAGCGGUGAAAUGCGUAGAGAUCUGGAGGAAUACCGGUGGCGAAGGCGGCCCCCUGGACAAAGACUGACGCUCAGGUGCGAAAGCGUGGGGAGCAAACAGGAUUAGAUACCCGGGUAGUC